UGAUCCAGGAGGGUCUUUUACCUAGAAGC
This 29-nucleotide non-coding RNA is filed under the name Mus musculus (house mouse). Lineage: Eukaryota; Metazoa; Chordata; Mammalia; Rodentia; Muridae. The record is from RNAcentral.